This 277-nucleotide long non-coding RNA is filed under the name Lathyrus oleraceus (garden pea). Its description in RNAcentral is "Pisum sativum (pea) long non-coding RNA (PSAT_LNC037412)". Lineage: Eukaryota; Viridiplantae; Streptophyta; Magnoliopsida; Fabales; Fabaceae. The record is from RNAcentral.
UUCAUCCAUCAUCCUCUGAAUCGUCUCCCUCAGCAUUACACACCCAUUUGUAGUGACGGUGCAGGCAGCACAACGAUUAUCACAACCAGGGAAAACUCCACUCUUCAUCAGAUGUCUCUUGACCACAGACAUUGGAGUCCAACACCCAUUUGUAGUGACGGUGCAGGCAGCACAACGAUUAUCACAACCAGGGAAAACUCCACUCUUCAUCAGAUGUCUCUUGACCACAGACAUUGGAGUCCUCAACUGGUUCACAUCCGUCACCUCUGUUUUUCUC